RNAcentral lists this ribosomal RNA (467 nucleotides) under uncultured bacterium. RNAcentral describes it as "partial 16S ribosomal RNA". It matches the Rfam family "Bacterial small subunit ribosomal RNA", at positions 28 to 507 of the family's 1533-position model. The record is from RNAcentral.
GACGAACGCUGGCGGCGUGCUUAACACAUGCAAGUCGAACGGAAAGGCCUCUUUCGGGGGGUACUCGAGUGGCGAACGGGUGAGUAACACGUGAGUAACCUGCCCUUGACUUUGGGAUAACUUCAGGAAACUGGGUCUAAUACCGGAUAGGAGCUCCUGCUGCAUGGUGGGGGUUGGAGAGUUUCGGCGGUUGGGGAUGGACUCGCGGCUUAUCAGCUUGUUGGUGGGGUAGUGGCUUACCAAGGCUUUGACGGGUAGCCGGCCUGAGAGGGUGACCGGCCACAUUGGGACUGAGAUACGGCCCAGACUCCUACGGGAGGCAGCAGUGGGGAAUAUUGCACAAUGGGUGGAAGCCUGAUGCAGCAACGCCGUGUGCGGGAUGACGGCCUUCGGGUUGUAAACCGCUUUCGCUCAUGACGAAGCUUUGUGUGACGGUAGUGGGUAAAGAAGCACCGGCUAACUACGUG